GUACUACUAGUAUGUACUAGCAGUACAUACUACUAGUAUUAGUAUUAAUCAUAGUAGUUCUAGUAUUAGUACUAAUUCUAUUAGUAGUACA
This 91-nucleotide transfer RNA is filed under the name Amborella trichopoda. RNAcentral describes it as "tRNA AMTR_s00212t00274530". The record is from RNAcentral. Lineage: Eukaryota; Viridiplantae; Streptophyta; Magnoliopsida; Amborellales; Amborellaceae.